RNAcentral lists this ribosomal RNA (521 nucleotides) under uncultured bacterium. RNAcentral describes it as "bacterial SSU rRNA". It matches the Rfam family "Archaeal small subunit ribosomal RNA", at positions 345 to 866 of the family's 1478-position model. The record is from RNAcentral.
AACCUCCGCAAUGUGAGAAAUCGCGACGGGGGGAUCCCAAGUGCCAUUCUUAACGGGAUGGCUUUUCAUUAGUGUAAAGAGCUUUUGGAAUAAGAGCUGGGCAAGACCGGUGCCAGCCGCCGCGGUAGCACCGGCAGCUCUAGUGGUAGCAACUUUUAUUGGGCCUAAAGCGUCCGUAGCCGGUUUAAUAAGUCUCUGGUGAAAUCCUGUAGCUUAACUGUGGGAAUUGCUGGAGAUACUAUUAGACUUGAGACCGGGAGAGGUUAGAGGUACUCCCAGGGUAGAGGUGAAAUUCUGUAAUCCGUGGGGGACCGCCUGUUGCGAAGGCGUCUAACUGGAACGGUUCUGACGGUGAGGGACGAAAGUUAGGGGCGCGAACCGGAUUAGAUACCCGGGUAGUCCUAACUGUAAACGAUGCGGACUUGGUGUUGGGGUGGCUUUGAGCUGUCCCAGUGCCGAAGGGAAGCUGUUAAGUCCGCCGCCUGGGAAGUACGGUCGCAAGACUGAAACUUAAAGGAAUU